Epinephelus moara (kelp grouper) is the source of this 374-nucleotide long non-coding RNA. RefSeq lists it as uncharacterized. The transcript is spliced from 3 exons. The record is from RefSeq and is a predicted model, not a curated record. Lineage: Eukaryota; Metazoa; Chordata; Actinopteri; Perciformes; Serranidae.
GUUCUCCCUGUGUCAGCGUGGGUUUCCUCCAGGUGCUCCGACAUGUUCUCCCUGUGUCAGCGUGGGUUUCCUCCAGGUGCUCCGACAUGUUCUCCCUGUGUCAGCGUGGGUUUCCUCCAGGUGCUCUGACAUGUUCUCCCUGUGUCAGUGUGGGUUUCCUCCAGGUGCUCCGACAUGUUCUCCCUGUGUCAGCGUGGGUUUCCUCCAGGUGCUCCGACAUGUUCUCCCUGUGUCAGCGUGGGUUUCCUCCAGGUGCUCUGACAUGUUCUCCCCGUGUCAGCGUGGGUUUCCUCCAGGUGCUCCGACAUGUUCUCCCUGUGUCAGCGUGGGUUUCCUCCAGGUGCUCCGACAUGUUCUCCCCGUGUCAGCGUGUG